This 789-nucleotide ribosomal RNA is filed under the name bacterium enrichment culture clone IsoM-66. RNAcentral's name for it is "bacterial SSU rRNA". It matches the Rfam family "Bacterial small subunit ribosomal RNA", at positions 8 to 773 of the family's 1533-position model. The record is from RNAcentral.
AGAGUUUGAUCAUGGCUCAGAACGAACGCUGGCGGCGUGCCUAACACAUGCAAGUCGAACGAGAAAGUUGACUUCGGUCAAUGAGUAAAGUGGCGCACGGGUGAGUAACACGUGGAUAAUCUGCCUCUAAGCGAGGAAUAACAUUUCGAAAGGAGUGCUAAUACCUCAUAAUGUUAUUUUUUCCUCGGAAGAAAUAGCCAAAGGCGACCUCUGUCUCAAGUUGCCGUUUAGAGAUGAGUCCGCGGCCCAUUAGCUAGUUGGUAGGGUAAGAGCCUACCAAGGCAACGAUGGGUAGCUGGUCUGAGAGGAUGAUCAGCCACACUGGAACUGAGAUACGGUCCAGACUCCUACGGGAGGCAGCAGUGAGGAAUCUUGCGCAAUGGGGGAAACCCUGACGCAGCAACGCCGUGUGAGUGAUGAAGGUUUUCGGAUCGUAAAGCUCUGUUUGAAGGGACGAAACGUAUUUGACUAAUACUCAAAUAACUUGACGGUACCUUCAGAGGAAGCACCGGCUAACUCCGUGCCAGCAGCCGCGGUAAUACGGAGGGUGCAAGCGUUGUUCGGAAUUACUGGGCGUAAAGGGCGUGUAGGUGGCUAAGUAAGUCAGGUGUGAAAGCCUUCCGCUUAACGGGAGAAGUGCACUUGAAACUGUUUAGCUAGAGUACGAGAGAGGAAGGUGGAAUUCCUGGUGUAGAGGUGAAAUUCAUAGAUAUCGGGAAGAACACCGGUGGCGAAGCGGGCCUUCUGGCUCGAUACUGACGCUGAUACGCGAAAGCGUGGGGAGCAAAC